GAUGAACGCUGGCGGCGUGCCUAAUACAUGCAAGUCGAGCGAACAGAUGAGGAGCUUGCUCCUCUGACGUUAGCGGCGGACGGGUGAGUAACACGUGGAUAACCUACCUAUAAGACUGGGAUAACUUCGGGAAACCGGAGCUAAUACCGGAUAAUAUAUUGAACCGCAUGGUUCAAUAGUGAAAGACGGUUUUGCUGUCACUUAUAGAUGGAUCCGCGCCGCAUUAGCUAGUUGGUAAGGUAACGGCUUACCAAGGCAACGAUGCGUAGCCGACCUGAGAGGGUGAUCGGCCACACUGGAACUGAGACGCGGUCCAGACUCCUACGGGAGGCAGCAGUAGGGAAUCUUCCGCAAUGGGCGAAAGCCUGACGGAGCAACGCCGCGUGAUUGAUGCAGGUCUUCGGAUCGUAAAACUCUGUUAUUAGGGAAGAACAAAUGUGUAAGUAACUAUGCACGUCUUGACGGUACCUAAUCAGAAAGCCACGGCUAACUACGUG
RNAcentral lists this ribosomal RNA (497 nucleotides) under uncultured bacterium. Its description in RNAcentral is "partial 16S ribosomal RNA". It matches the Rfam family "Bacterial small subunit ribosomal RNA", at positions 28 to 507 of the family's 1533-position model. The record is from RNAcentral.